RNAcentral lists this ribosomal RNA (567 nucleotides) under Salmonella enterica. RNAcentral describes it as "partial 23S ribosomal RNA". It matches the Rfam family "Bacterial large subunit ribosomal RNA", at positions 1 to 601 of the family's 2925-position model. Lineage: Bacteria; Pseudomonadati; Pseudomonadota; Gammaproteobacteria; Enterobacterales; Enterobacteriaceae. The record is from RNAcentral.
GGUUAAGCGACUAAGCGUACACGGUGGAUGCCCUGGCAGUCAGAGGCGAUGAAGGGCGUGCUAAUCUGCGAUAAGCGCCGGUAAGGUGAUAUGAACCGUUAUAACCGGCGAUACCCGAAUGGGGAAACCCAGUGUGAUUCGUCACACUAUCAUUAACUGAAUCCAUAGGUUAAUGAGGCGAACCGGGGGAACUGAAACAUCUAAGUACCCCGAGGAAAAGAAAUCAACCGAGAUUCCCCCAGUAGCGGCGAGCGAACGGGGAGGAGCCCAGAGCCUGAAUCAGCAUGUGUGUUAGUGGAAGCGUCUGGAAAGGCGCGCGAUACAGGGUGACAGCCCCGUACACAAAAGCGCAUGUGCUGUGAGCUCGAUGAGUAGGGCGGGACACGUGGUAUCCUGUCUGAAUAUGGGGGGACCAUCCUCCAAGGCUAAAUACUCCUGACUGACCGAUAGUGAACCAGUACCGUGAGGGAAAGGCGAAAAGAACCCCGGCGAGGGGAGUGAAAAAGAACCUGAAACCGUGUACGUACAAGCAGUGGGAGCCCCACCACUAAGCCAGUGGUGAACUCC